GGACUACAGGGGUAUCUAAUCCUGUUUGCUCCCCACGCUUUCGCGUCUCAGCGUCAAUAUCGGUCCAGGCAGCCGCCUUCGCCACCGGUGUUCCUCCUAAUAUCUACGGAUUUCACUCCUACACUAGGAAUUCCACUGCCCUCUCCCGUAUUCAAGUCUCCCAGUAUCCAAUGCACUUCCCAGGUUGAGCCCGGGGCUUUCACAUCAGACUUAAAAGACCGCCUACACGCGCUUUACGCCCAAUAAUUCCGAACAACGCUCGCACCCUCCGUAUUACCGCGGCUGCUGGCAC
This 292-nucleotide ribosomal RNA is filed under the name uncultured bacterium. RNAcentral describes it as "partial 16S ribosomal RNA". The record is from RNAcentral.